AACUCCGGAUUAUCCAAAUCCCGUCGGCAUAGCAACACCAGGCCAAACCAGAGACCUUGGAGGCUGCAGAAAGCCCCCAGCUAAACGAUGGAAAAGUGAUGGUCAGUCCUCCAUCUCCCUCACUACUGAUGAAGAAGAAGAGAACAAUGCUAGUGACAAAGGUGGUAGUUUUGUACACACAGUACAAAGAAGUCACACCACUUCAAACCACUAAUGCCAAGCUGGCCCAUCACCUGGUAAUAGUAGCAGUGGGACUCUUUUAGUUUGUACCUUCCAUCUUCCAGCUUCGCAAGAUAAGUUAAGGUUUCAAAGCUGUCCUUAGUAGGGCAUUUUAUCUCAAGAAGUCCAUAUUCUGGGUUGUUGCUCUGUCCUCCCUCUAUUACUUUAUAGUCUGGUGAAGCACCAAGGUGUGGGGCAUGGGGAUUUACAACAAACCCACAGGGUAACACAAUAUUGUUACUUAGUUUUGUGUAUUCUGUUGCUGCUACACUCUCUAAUGCCAAGCCCCUUCUCAUAGCCUUGG
Alosa alosa (allis shad) is the source of this 523-nucleotide long non-coding RNA. RefSeq lists it as uncharacterized. Lineage: Eukaryota; Metazoa; Chordata; Actinopteri; Clupeiformes; Clupeidae. The record is from RefSeq and is a predicted model, not a curated record. The transcript has 3 exons.